UACGUAGGGUGCAAGCGUUGUCCGGAAUUAUUGGGCGUAAAGAGCUCGUAGGCGGUUUGUCGCGUCUGCUGUGAAAACUCGGGGCUUAACCCUGGGCCUGCAGUGGGUACGGGCAGACUAGAGUGCGGUAGGGGAGAUUGGAAUUCCUGGUGUAGCGGUGGAAUGCGCAGAUAUCAGGAGGAACACCGAUGGCGAAGGCAGAUCUCUGGGCCGUAACUGACGCUGAGGAGCGAAAGCAUGGGGAGCGAACAGG
RNAcentral lists this ribosomal RNA (253 nucleotides) under uncultured bacterium. Its description in RNAcentral is "partial 16S ribosomal RNA". It matches the Rfam family "Bacterial small subunit ribosomal RNA", at positions 524 to 776 of the family's 1533-position model. The record is from RNAcentral.